UGCGCAGGCGGAACUUUAAGUCAGUGGUGAAAUCUUGCCGCUUAACGGUAAAAUUGCCAUUGAUACUGAAGUUCUUGAAUAUGGUUGAGGUAGGCGGAAUGUGUUGUGUAGCGGUGAAAUGCAUAGAUAUGACACAGAACUCCGAUUGCGAAGGCAGCUUACUAAGCCAUUAUUGACGCUGAGGCACGAAAGCGUGGGGAGCGAACAGGAUUAGAUACCCUGGUAGUC
RNAcentral lists this ribosomal RNA (228 nucleotides) under uncultured bacterium. RNAcentral describes it as "partial 16S ribosomal RNA". It matches the Rfam family "Bacterial small subunit ribosomal RNA", at positions 568 to 795 of the family's 1533-position model. The record is from RNAcentral.